UAGGGAAUCUUCGGCAAUGGACGAAAGUCUGACCGAGCAACGCCGCGUGAGUGAAGAAGGUUUUCGGAUCGUAAAACUCUGUUGUUAGAGAAGAACAAGGACGUUAGUAACUGAACGUCUCCUGACGGUAUCUAACCAGAAAGCCACGGCUAACUACGUGCCAGCAGCCGCGGUAAUACGUAGGUGGCAAGCGUUGUCCGGAUUUAUUGGGCGUAAAGCGAGCGCAGGCGGUUUCUUAAGUCUGAUGUGAAAGCCCCCGGCUCAACCGGGGAGGGUCAUUGGAAACGGGGAGACUUGAGUGCAGAAGAGGGGAGUGGAAUUCCAUGUGUAGCGGUGAAAUGCGUAGAUAUAUGGAGGAACACCAGUGGCGAAGGCGGCUCUCUGGUCUGUACCUGACGCUGAGGCUCGAAAGCGUGGGAAGCAAACAGG
This 429-nucleotide ribosomal RNA is filed under the name Gemmatimonadota bacterium. Its description in RNAcentral is "Gemmatimonadetes bacterium partial 16S ribosomal RNA". It matches the Rfam family "Bacterial small subunit ribosomal RNA", at positions 355 to 776 of the family's 1533-position model. Lineage: Bacteria; Pseudomonadati; Gemmatimonadota. The record is from RNAcentral.